UACAGAGGGUGCAAGCGUUAAUCGGAUUUACUGGGCGUAAAGCGUGCGUAGGUGGCUUCUUAAGUCGGAUGUGAAAGCCCUGGGCUCAACCUGGGAACUGCAUUCGAUACUGGGUAGCUAGAGUUCGGUAGAGGGCGGCGGAAUUCCGGGUGUAGCGGUGAAAUGCGUAGAUAUCCGGAGGAACACCGAUGGCGAAGGCAACCGCCUGGGCCUGAACUGACACUGAGGCACGAAAGCGUGGGGAG
Molecule: ribosomal RNA, 245 nt
Filed under: uncultured Hydrocarboniphaga sp.
Lineage: Bacteria; Pseudomonadati; Pseudomonadota; Gammaproteobacteria; Nevskiales; Nevskiaceae
Description: partial 16S ribosomal RNA
Rfam family: Bacterial small subunit ribosomal RNA
Source: RNAcentral